RNAcentral lists this long non-coding RNA (281 nucleotides) under Pan troglodytes (chimpanzee). RNAcentral's name for it is "long non-coding RNA NONPTRT009304". Lineage: Eukaryota; Metazoa; Chordata; Mammalia; Primates; Hominidae. The record is from RNAcentral.
GCGAUGCGGGGCAUGCGUAGAUGAGACUCCAUCUGCCCGGAGCUGCUUUCCUGAGCCUUGGAGGACAGCUUCGUCAUGGCUCCUAGACUUCCGUUUAUCCUUGCUGCCUAUCUGUUGCAGGCUGCAGCCUGGCCAUCCUGCAGGCUGGGAAGCACAGCCCCUGGCAAAAACCAGACGCGAGCACUUCAGAGAAGGAAGGAUGAGACAGGAAUUGAAGCUGAACAGUAAUUGGUGUGGAUGCCCAGAAGAACUGAAUUAACUGCAUGAGCAAACUUCUUAUA